Molecule: long non-coding RNA, 395 nt
Organism: Chelonia mydas (Green sea turtle)
Lineage: Eukaryota; Metazoa; Chordata; Testudines; Cheloniidae
Exons: 3
Source: RefSeq, a predicted model, not a curated record
CUGCAGUAGAGGAAAGGCAGUGAGGGGUAGUAGAGAGAGAUAGCUUGGUGCCCCCCGCCCCCAUGGACUGUAAGAAGGGGACUUGUGUACGGUGGGAGCAUAGCUUGUAAAUAAAAGCACCAGAAACCUUUCACAAGGGGAAAAGAACUCAGCAAUUUUGUCUUCAUGUCUGGCCAUUAAAGAAUCCCAGCAGAUGAAGAAGAUGGCUAGAAGAGUGAGUACAAAAAGAGCCAGGGCUCUCUGAAAAUUCAGGACACACGCUGCAAUGACUAUCACCAGAUACCUAGAAGUAAACACAAGCAACCAAAGCAAACAGAACAAAGAAAUAAAUUCCACCAAAGCAGAAAGAAGAGUAAUUCAUACAGGAACAUUGCAUUAGAUCUAUCAAAGCUCCU